UACGUAGGGGGCGAGCGUUACCCGGAAUUACUGGGCGUAAAGGGGGCGUAGGCGGCCCGGCAAGUCAAGUGUGAAAUCCGGCGGCUCAACCGCUGGGCUGCGCUUGAAACUGCCGGGCUUGAGUGCAGCAGAGGGAGACGGAAUUGCCGGUGUAGGGGUGAAAUCCGUAGAUAUCAGCAGGAACGCCGGUGGAGAAGUCGGUCUGCUGGGCCGUAACCGACGCUGAGGCACGAAAGCUAGGGGAGCGAACCGG
Molecule: ribosomal RNA, 253 nt
Filed under: uncultured microorganism
Description: partial 16S ribosomal RNA
Rfam family: Bacterial small subunit ribosomal RNA
Source: RNAcentral